UCACUCUGGUUUUUCUGCAAGACGCAUAAAUCUUUCGCCUUUUACUAAAGAUUUCCGUGCAGAGGAACACAUUGAUGAGUCUAUAAAGAUUUUUUCCCUGCCCAGUGGAAACACAGGGCU
RNAcentral lists this small nuclear RNA (120 nucleotides) under Strongylocentrotus purpuratus (purple sea urchin). RNAcentral's name for it is "U5 spliceosomal RNA". It matches the Rfam family "U5 spliceosomal RNA". From Rfam's summary of the family: U5 RNA is a component of both types of known spliceosome. Lineage: Eukaryota; Metazoa; Echinodermata; Echinoidea; Camarodonta; Strongylocentrotidae. The record is from Rfam by way of RNAcentral.